Anas platyrhynchos (mallard) is the source of this 2577-nucleotide long non-coding RNA. RefSeq lists it as uncharacterized. The record is from RefSeq and is a predicted model, not a curated record. NCBI's taxonomy places the organism in Eukaryota, Metazoa, Chordata, Aves, Anseriformes, Anatidae.
AGUCCCGCUGUGACGGAGGCCGGCUCGCCGGGUCGCACGCUGCUGCCUCGGCUGCUGUCGGGGAGCCACCGUGGCAGUGCACGGAGCGCUGCUGGACACCACGGCCACAGGACACCGAGCACUGGAGGAAGGGAUGAGAGACUGAAACCAGGACAUGCUCAUCCUGAAGAUUUAUGCAUUUUGAAAACAACUCAGAAGAAGGCAGAGCCUGGAGAAUCAAAGCAGAAAGGAAACCAGCAGGCAACGAACAUCAGCAAUGAGAAGAAAACAUCGAGUCCUAACAAACUAAGUUAUAAACUUCUAAUACGUCCACCCCUUUAGUGUCUUUGGGCUAAAUGCCAAGAGUGGUACUUCAGAAAAAUUCAAGUGCUCCUCAGUGCUCUCUGUGCAGGUCGACACCACUUUAAGGUGACAGUGAAAACUAAAGCAUAAAUUCACACGCUUGAUCAGGGCUCUGUCUUGUCCCGCAUCCUGAGACAGUAAAGCAAAGUGCAUGCAUUCUCUAAUUUAAAAAACACAUUGGGCCUGGUACUUAUUGUAAAAGAAGAAUAACAUCGUUUUAUAACACAAGUAUGUUUCUAGGGACCUGAAGUUGUUUGAUAAACAUUUAAUCUUGCAAAUAAUAUGGUACCAGUAAUUUCCAAAAUUGCUACCCCCUUCUACAAAUUGCUUACCUUUGGUGUGGAGCCAGAUUCUGACAUUUAUCUUGGCAUCCGAUGCCAUAACAUCACAGGGCUACAGGCACAUUUUGGUGCACUUUGAGGCUGAGACAUAAUCAGACUAAUUUUGUUAAUAUUUGAAUGUAAUUCUCAAGAUGCUGCAAUUAAUCAUUUCUAUGUCUGCCUUUAAUGUACAUUAAAGUUAGGCAGCUGUACGUUUUUAGAUCUAAGACAUCCCUUUGGUUUCACGCACAUGUGAGUUAUGAUCUCAUUUGCUCUGACAGACAAUAGAGGCUGAACGACCUGAUGUAACCAAGAAGUAGAGACCAACAAUUCCUCUGCAAAGGGCCUACCUCGUAAUUGCCUUCUAAUUCUUCUCAGCUAUUUCCAGCUUUUAUUUGGCACGUAGAUUUUAGGCAUAUGUGAGCCACAUGCACAAAAUAAUUCGACAGUGCUUAAUCUCACUGCCACGUGACUGAGGGGAGCAAUGCACCUAGCUACUGCGGUCCCCUCAUCAGUUACUUCUGACCCUGGAGGAACUUUGCAUUUCAUUAGCAGGGCUCUUUUCAUCGCUGGAAACGCUUACGAUAUCUAUCAGUAACAAUGCCACGGUGAGGUAAGCGCUGACCUUGCCUUCUUUAAACAUUUGAAAAGCACAGACAAAAACACUCCUCUCACCGACUCCUUUCGUUCUUUCUUUUUUUUCCUUCCCCCCCUCCCUGUGGAGAAUACUUCAAAGUGCUGGGGGUGGACGGGUGGCUGGCUGUGGAACAGCAGCCUCAUCCAGGGCUCUUUGAAGCCAACAGCAAGGCUCCUACUGCUUUCAGUUCCCUCUGGAUCCAGCCCCGAAGGUGCAGCCAAGAGUUCAGGAAUGAUGAAGAUUUUGCUACUUUACCAAAUACGUGCACGUUGCUUUAUACUAAUCCUCACUGCAUUUCCUACACAGCCUUCCUGGAAGAUGAGGGUACACCUUGUUGAGUAAGGCCUUUCUAGAAUAAGGCGGCUGCUACCUGAUUCACUGGGUUAGGAGCAGGGGAAGAAAAACAAGAGGGAAACAAAAAAAAUAACAACAGAAUAUACACCACACCCAAAACACUCUUAAAAAUUUGUACAGUUUCUGUCUGGCUGGGCCCAGGUUCUGAUCCUGUGCCAAGGCCGUGCUGCUAAGAGCAUCGCCAGCCCCCAGCACCAAGGAGCAGAGAAGCUCUGCUCUCAUUAACUUUGUGCACCAAAUGUCUACCUGAACACCGGGCAGAAAGGCAAGUAAGUCACGAAUCUGGGUAAAUUCUCCACCAAAAAUGGAAACUUUCAGAAAAUGCUGCCAGACUGCUUUUCCAGGCCCUGUGCAUCAAUGAACGAUUUGGGAGGUAUUUGAGAUAAUGAAUGUAAGCUGUGGUGAUCACCAAAUGAAUUCCCCAAGAUAGGUAUGCUCAGAUAGCUCGGGAAGGGCAGUGGAGGGGGCUGGGAAGAAUUAGACUAAAACGUCUUUAUCAGAUUCUGCCAGGAGCAACUUUUCAGAGGAAAUUAAAAUCAAUCCUUCUAGAUUUAGGUUUCCACACAUUAAGGAUUAUAUGGAAAGUGAGCGCUCGUAAGUAAGCCCUCAUUCAUCCUUUCCAACAGUCUGAGCUGAAACAUGUGCUAGAUGAAAUAAAACAGAAAAACCACCGAGUCCUACAGCACUGCUUCAUGCUCUUACAUCCCAUCUGCAUUAGGAGCUGUGCUCCUGGAUGUCAGCACACUUCUCCCACUGCCAGCAGAGUCCAACCAUGCACCCUCACAGUGACAUUUCAGCAUCCCAUUGGUGUUCAUCAGCCUCCUGCUACAACUUAUGCUGCUGCUACCAGGUUCUGGAAACUUUGGCACAGCCCCGUGACGUCUGUACCUCUAAAGUCUCUCGAGCACAAAGGACAUCAGAAGA